UACGUAGGGUGCGAGCGUUAAUCGGAAUUAUUGGGCGUAAAGGGCGCGUAGGCGGCUUCAUAAGUCAAAGGUGAAAUCCCUCGGCUCAACUGAGGAACUGCCUUUGAAACUGUGAGGCUUGAGGCCGGGAGGGGGUAGCGGAAUUCCCAAUGUAGCGGUGAAAUGCGUAGAUAUUGGGAGGAACACCAGUGGCGAAGGCGGCUACCUGGACCGGUUCUGACGCUGAUGCGCGAAAGCGUGGGUAGCAAACAGG
This 253-nucleotide ribosomal RNA is filed under the name uncultured prokaryote. RNAcentral describes it as "partial 16S ribosomal RNA". It matches the Rfam family "Bacterial small subunit ribosomal RNA", at positions 524 to 776 of the family's 1533-position model. The record is from RNAcentral.